AUUCCAGCUCCAAUAGCGUAUAUUAAAGUUGUUGCAGUUAAAAAGCUCGUAGUUGGAUUUCGGAAUGGGUCAGUUGGUCCGCCGCAAGGUGAGUUACUGACUGAUUUGUUCUUCUUCGCAAAGACUGCGUGUGCUCUUUACUGAGUGUACGUAGGAUUUACGACGUUUACUUUGAAAAAAUUAGAGUGUUCAAAGCAGGCUAUCGCUUGAAUACAUGAGCAUGGAAUAAUGGAAUAGGACUUUGGUUCUAUUUUAUUGGUUUCUAGAACUGGUUUAAUGAUUGAUAGGGAUAGUUGGGGGUGCUAGUAUUCAGCGGCCAGAGGUGAAAUUCUUGGAUUCGCUGAAGACUAACUUAUGCGAAAGCAUUCACCAAGGAUGUCUUCAUUG
Molecule: ribosomal RNA, 387 nt
Filed under: Lizzia sp.
Lineage: Eukaryota; Metazoa; Cnidaria; Hydrozoa; Anthoathecata; Bougainvilliidae
Description: partial small subunit ribosomal RNA
Rfam family: Eukaryotic small subunit ribosomal RNA
Source: RNAcentral